This 324-nucleotide ribosomal RNA is filed under the name uncultured eukaryote. RNAcentral's name for it is "partial 18S ribosomal RNA". It matches the Rfam family "Eukaryotic small subunit ribosomal RNA", at positions 1470 to 1796 of the family's 1831-position model. The record is from RNAcentral.
UCCUUAGAUGUUCUGGGCCGCACGCGCGCUACACUGAUGCAUUCAACGAGUUUCUUCCUGGUCCGAGAGGAAUGGGUAACCUUUUGAAAGUGCAUCGUGAUAGGGAUAGACUAUUGCAAUUAUUGGUCUUCAACGAGGAAUUCCUAGUAGACGUAGUUCAUCAGACUGCAUCGAUUACGUCCCUGCCCUUUGUACACACCGCCCGUCGCUCCUACCGAUUGAAUGCUCAGGUGAGCCAUUCGGACUUUCAUCAUGCUGGUUUCCAGUUUUGAUGAAGGAAAGUCUUGCGAACCUUAUCAUUUAGAGGAAGGAGAAGUCGUAACA